This 236-nucleotide unclassified non-coding RNA is filed under the name uncultured Mortierella. RNAcentral's name for it is "sequence contains ITS2". Lineage: Eukaryota; Fungi; Mortierellomycota; Mortierellomycetes; Mortierellales; Mortierellaceae. The record is from RNAcentral.
AACACCUCAAAUCCCUCUACUUGUUGGAGGAAUUUGGACUUGAGCAAUCCCAACUUUUCGAAAGAGAAGGCGGGUUGCUUGAAAUGCAGGUGCAGCUAGAUUUUUCUUCUGAGCUAUAAGCAUACUUAUUUAAUCCCGUAAAACGGAUUAUUACUUUUGCUGCAGCUAACAUAAAGGUUGAAGAGUCGCGAUGGCUGACUGAUGCAGGAUUAACAUUUCGCGUAAGCGAUUUGUAA